CAAUAGCGUAUAUUAAAGUUGUUGCGGUUAAAAAGCUCGUAGUUGGAUUUCUGUCGAGGACGACCGGUCCGCCCUCUGGGUGAUGCAUCUGGCUCGGCCUUGGCAUCUUCUUGGGGAACGUUACUGCACUUGACUGUGUGGUGCGGUAUCCAGGACUUUUACUUUGAGGAAAUUAGAGUGUUUCAAGCAGGCGCACGCCUUGAAUACAUUAGCAUGGAAUAAUAAGAUAGGACCUUGGUUCUAUUUUGUUGGUUUCUAGAGCUGAGGUAAUGAUUAAUAGGGAUAGUUGGGGGCAUUCGUAUUUAACUGUCAGAGGUGAAAUUCUUGGAUCUGCUAAAGACGGACAACUGCGAAAGCGUUUGCCCAGGAUGUUUUCAUUGA
RNAcentral lists this ribosomal RNA (381 nucleotides) under uncultured eukaryote. Its description in RNAcentral is "partial 18S ribosomal RNA". It matches the Rfam family "Eukaryotic small subunit ribosomal RNA", at positions 592 to 976 of the family's 1831-position model. The record is from RNAcentral.